This 1107-nucleotide long non-coding RNA is filed under the name Nicotiana benthamiana. RNAcentral's name for it is "long non-coding RNA (NBEN_LNC032783)". The record is from RNAcentral. Lineage: Eukaryota; Viridiplantae; Streptophyta; Magnoliopsida; Solanales; Solanaceae.
UUGAUCCCUUAUCAUAUGCCUAAUUCAUGUGUACUCUUUAUAUGUGCUGGACUUCCCCCUCUAAAAUGGAUUUAAAAUCCUGAUUAGUUUCAGACUUCCUUUUGUAUAGGUUUGAUUGAUUUCUUUCCUUAUUUUCUGAUUUUCCUAUGACUCGAUUUAAGUUACUUGGCUUUCUUUUACUUUUCUGACUUGGUUCAUUCAUGGACCAGUGAUUACAAAAUCUCUGACCCUUGAUUUACUUGCUACUAAUUGAUUUCUCUUACCUUAUUUAUGCCACCGUGUAUUUCAAAGCUCUGCCCCUAAAAUAAACUUCAAGGUAUUUACCCCUAAUUGCCUACUUCGCACAAAAUGCUUGUUUGAUUUAUUUCCUUAAAUAACUUUUACCGUUUGAAUCUAAAUUCCUUAAUUAAAUGAAGUCUUGUGUUCAUUGAUUCUUAAUUGAUAUUUAGUUGCUUAACUAUUUUCUUACCUUGUUUCUACCUGUUCUUCACACUAUAAAUACCUGCUCCUCAUUGACACACGGACAAGCCCUAACUCAUAGUCUUUCUGAACUUACACUUAUACGCAAUAGUAUUCUCUGUUCUUGUCAGCACUAUGGCCUGUUUACAAGACCUAUUGCUUUUCUCUAUUUGUUUCUUUGAACUGGUAUGUCCUGAUUUAAGCUUUAGCGCCACAACAAUGUGAGUAUUUACUAUAUUUGUAUCUAUGUCUACUUACUGUUUAUGUAUAGUUCAACAUUUAAAUUAGCUUGCUGAUUUCUUUCUGCCUGUUCUACUAUGAAUCCCAAAACCCCUUCCUCCCUAUGUGUUUGAGCUAUGGUUUAAGACAUGGCAAUAUGCAAAUUAUUGUCCAUGAAUUAAACUUGACCCCUUGAGAUCCUAGCCUCUAAUAGUGUGUUCUAACAUGCUCAUGGAUGUGCUAGCAUUCUCCAUUAUUGGGUAUGCCCACAGCUUGCUCUUGCCUCUUUCAAUUUCCCUAUAUCUUGGGGAUCCUAGCCUCUAAUAGCAUGUUCUAACAUGCUUAUAGGUGUACUAGCACUCUCUAUUGCUUGGUAUGCCCACAGCCCGCCUUGCCUCUUUUUUUGAUUUCCUUUCUCCUUGAACCUCC